UGGAAAUCCUGCUGAAGAUAUUUGUCCCA
RNAcentral lists this non-coding RNA (29 nucleotides) under Mus musculus (house mouse). Lineage: Eukaryota; Metazoa; Chordata; Mammalia; Rodentia; Muridae. The record is from RNAcentral.